AUAUGUACGAAGAGUGACCGACAACCAAAACUAAUCGAAACAAGGCGCGAAAAAUUAUCAGAUUCCCGGGCUUGGUUUCCCUCAUACGAAGCAUAUUUGGUAACUGCUUAUACGCAGAUUCAUUAGGCCCCGAUCUCCUCCCCUUCCUCUCUCGAUCUCCUCCAUUGCACAGAUCCGAAAUUCAUAGCAGCAGCAAUGGGAGAACCCAUCCCUAAUCUCUCCGGCCACCAAGAUCCUCCCCCCUCUGCCCGUAGGAGGCAGCAGCAAGCAUCUCCCCUCCCAGGUGACCACAUCCUCCUCUUGCCCCGCUGCAAUUUUCUCAACCAUCCUUGGUGAGCAGGUCCUCCACCCCUCCGCCCAGAGAAGGCAGCUGCUGGAAUCACCUCUCCCAGGCGACUACAUCCUCCUCCUACUCCUCUCCUCCCCAGCUGCAGUUCGCACACCCUCAAAGGGCACUUUGUUUUGGCAAAGGUGUGUUCCUGCUCUUAUUUUCUUUCUAAUAAGAAGUAAUAAUUAGGGUGACUUGUAAUACGUAGGUUACUGUGAGGCUUAUUGUGCCAUUAUGUGAAGUUCAUAUAGGAAUUUCUUAUAUCAUGAUUAAAGGUGUGCUGCACUCCACAAACUGAUGUGCUCCAGUAAUUAGAUAUAUUAGGUAAAGCAUAGAAGACAAGCAUUAUAGAAAACUAAAAAUUGUAGGCAUUUGUGAAUUAUAGAAUUGUAGAUAAAUCUUUGUUGCAAACUAUCUUGUAAAGCCACAAACCGAAAUCUGUUGUGAAGUUUAAUUAGUGAAUUACAUAUGAAUUUGUGUUGAAAAGCAAUCUAUUGCUACAGGUUAGUUCAUAAGCAAUUUUUAUUACAUUUAUGGCACCAAGUAAGGCAUGGAUGGAUCUAGUUGAUGAUCGGCUUAGUGCUGAAUGUUGGGAUGCUAUGUCAUCAAAAAAGGAUAUUUAUCUGAAUGGGGUAAACAAGUUCUUGGAUUAUGCAUUCAGUAGGACUGGUGAUGGAGGUAAAAUUAGGUGUCCCUGUAUAAAGUGUUGCAAUACAUACAACUUGUCUUGUGAGGUUGUGUAUUCACAUCUGAUGGCUUAUGGAAUCAUAAGAAGCUACACCUUUUGGUAUCAUCAUGGGGAAAUUUUGGGAGAAUAUGAGAAUGAUUUAGAAGUGGAAGAUGACGAUGAAUCUGCUGAUGGAAUGCAGGAGCUGAUGGAGGAUCUAUUCCCUCAGAAUAACCUCCCCGGAAGUGACACAAUGGCAGACCCAUCUUCUAGUGAUUUUUUUGAAGAGAAACCAAAUGGGGAAGCUAUGAAGUUUUAUAAUUUGCUUAGUGACUUGAACAGACCUCUUUAUCAUGGAUCCAAUACCACUAAAUUAUCUGCGCUUGUAAAGUUACUUAAUGUUAAGAAUAUGGGAACGUGGAGUAAUAAGACCUUCACAGAUUUACUAGAUACACUUCUGAAGGACUUUUUACCUAAUAACUCUACUUUGCCAAGCUCUUACUAUGAUGCAAAAAAGACUAUUAAUGAACUAGGGCUUAGUUACAAAAAAAUUGAUGCUUGUAAGAAUGAUUGUAUGUUGUAUUGGAAAGAAGAAGCAAUGGCUGAUUUUUGCAAGAUAUGUGGAAGGUCAAGAUGGAAGCAAGACAAGCAUUCAGGUGAAAACAAGUAGUCAGGAAAAGGGAAAAAUCCCUGAAAAAACUUUACGUUAUUUCCCUCUGAAACCAAGGCUACAACGAUUGUACAUGUCUCGAAGAAUAGCUACUUUCUUGACAUGGCAUAGUGAUGGUAGAGCGGACGAUGGAGUGAUGCGGCAUCCAGCAGAUUCCAAAGCAUGGAAGAAUUUUGAUGAGCUGCACCCUUCUUUUGCAUCUGACCCUCGUAAUAUCAGGCUAUGCCUUGCUGCUGAUGGUUUCCAACCAUUUUCUAACAUCCGAUUAUCUCAUACCAUUUGGCCUAUAUUUCUCAUCCCGCUGAACUUACCUCCUUGGAUGUGUAUGAAGCAACAUAAUGUAAUCCUCUCCAUGUUGAUUCCUGGACGGGAAGAACCUGGGGAUGCGAUUGAUAUUUACCUGCAACCAUUAAUUGAUGAAUUGAUUGAGCUUUGGGAGGAGGGUGUUGACACAUAUGAUUCAUCAAAAAGAUAAAUUUUACUCUCAGAGCAGCCAUUCUUUGGACAGUCCAUGAUUUCCCAGCUUAUGCAAAUCUGUCAGGAUAUAGCACCAAGGGAAAGCUAGCAUGUCCAAUUUGCCACAAAGAAACUUGUUCGUUGUGGUUACCAAACGGUCGAAAAUUUUGUUACAUGGGUCAUAGACGCUUUCUGCCUAAAGGUCACCGAUGGAGAAAUGACAAAGCCUCAUUUGAUGGAACUAGAGAAGUACGUAGCCCAGCGGAACCCUUAACUGGAGAUGAAGUGCUGCAUCAAGUGGACGAUCUGGAGGGGAUUAUUUUGUCCAAGGAUAAGAGCAAGAAGACUAAGAUUUCACACGAUGAGAGGGGGAUAAUUGGACUAAGAAGAGCAUAUUUUUUAAAUUGCCAUAUUGCAAAACACUUCUGCUGAGGCAUAAUUUAGAUGUGAUGCAUAUAGAGAAGAACAUAUGUGAUUGUAUUAUUGAAACUGUUUUGGGCAUAAAAGGCAAAACAAAGGAUAACGAUAAAUCUCAUCUUGAUUUGAAAGAAAUGAAUUUAAAGCCACAUUUGCAUCCUGUUGAAGAUGGUGGAAAAUAUGUUAUGCCACAAGCAGAUUAUGCUUUGUCUCAAAUGGAUAAGAAAUCAGUAUUACAUUUUUUAAGGACUUGAAGGUUCCAGAUGGUUUUUCUUCCAAUAUUAGUAGACUUGUGAAUUUGAAGGAGGGGAAACUUUCAGGAACAAAGACCCAUGAUUGUCAUGUCAAAUCAUAUACUCCCUUAUGCUCUGCGUGGAUUUUUACCAAAUAAUAUUUAUGAGCCUUUACUUGAACUUUCUUAUUUUUUUCGAGAACUGAACUCAAAGGCAUUAUCAAUUGAACUGUUAGAGCAACUGCAGCCUCUUAUAGCCACCACUUUAUGUAAAUUGGAAAAGGAAUUCCCACCCUCAUUUUUCGUUAGCAUGAUGCACUUGCCUAUUCAUUUAGCUUAUGAGGCUCUAAUUGGUGGACCUACAAUGUAUCGUUGGAUGUCCCAGUUUGAGAGAUAUAUAAAAUUUCUGAAAUCUCUAGUUCGAAAUAUGGCUCACCCAGAGGCAUCCAUAGCAGAGGGUUAUAUUGCAUAUGAGUUUAUUAUGUUGUGUUCGAGGUACUUGGAUGAUGUAGAGACAGUACACAAUCGACCUGGACGAAUCAAUGAUGCAUCAAACUAUAAAAAGUUUUGUUUACCAAUAUUUUCUUGCACGGGAAGGCCACUUGGUGCUCACAAGACUCGAGGUCUUGAGUUUCUUGAGUUACAACAGGCUCAUAUAUAUGUUCUCAGGAAUUGCGACGAGGUGCAACCAUUUAUUAGUGAGUACAGCAGCGGUGAGGGCUCUUCAUUGCUGCAAUUUACAUCCUCCUGGAACAAUAAGUUUAUUAAAUGGUUCAGGGAGAAGAUCCAUAAUUUGUAUGAACAUGAUACAAGUGAAAAAAUGGAUGACCUUCUAUCAUUGUCUCGGGGCCCUUUGCAAAACACAACAUGUUUUGCAGGCUAUGACAUCAAUGGAUUCAGAUAUCGUAUAGAGAUUCGUGAUAGAAAUCGCUGCACACAAAAUAGUGGGGUGGCUGUUUUUUAGAAGAGAAUACAACUGAUGACAAUGCUGAAUAUUAUGGUGUAUUAAUAGAGAUAAUUGAGCUUCAAUUUCUUGGUGGAAGACGUGUGCCAUUAUUUCAUUGCAAGUGGGUUGACAUAUUCAAUAAAAAGAGAGGAAUAAAGAAGGAUACAUAUGGACUUGUUAGUGUCAAUUUUAAGUGCCUCCUUCGAAUAGAUGAGUCGUUUGUAUCAGCUAGCCAAGCUUCUCAAGUCUUUUUUGUUAAAGACAAUAUGAUCAAAGGAUGACACUUGGUUGUCAAAAUGCAGCCACGUGACACAUAUGAUGUAGCCGACGUUUCAGAUGAUGAAGACGUUGAAGAUGAGGAUGCCAAUGCAGAGGAAGACACAUGAUGAAUGUCCUUCAACCACAUCCUUGAGUGGAAAUAGGAAAUAUUGUUAUGAAUUUUGUUUCCAUAUCUUAGGAUAUGAAAUCUGUGACCAUUGCAUCAAUAUUUGUUUUUUAUAUUGACAGCUUAUGUAUGAACUAGUUUUUAUAGCCAUUUUUUUAUUGUCUCCUUGAGGUGCAGCCACGUGCCUCCUUAUAAUGCAGCUUAUGUAUGACCAUUGCAUCAAUAUUUUUGUAUCAACCACAUCCUUGCAUCAAUAGUUGUUUUUAUAUUUCUAUCUUGCCAUUAAUCUGUUUUCUUGCUUCUAUUCAUAGCUUACCAUUGUUCUUGUUUUCCUAUACUGAACUAGUUUAUAGUUUUGUUGCUUUCUAUAAAAAUUAGGGCAACAUCCUUUUAAUUUAAUUUUUUGUGCAUUUGUUAUCUAUGUAGGCUAUAGCAAUGCAAAGCAAGUAUGGAAAUGUGAGAUCCCCUCCAAGGUCACACUUCAUCAGCCCAGGAUUGCUUCGUCAACAACAUGCGAAAAGGUCCUAUCCAAACCCCAAUAUAGGCAUAGGAACAAACAAUGAGAGUUCGUCUAGAAAGCGAGCUAUGAAAGCUAUGGGCAAUGUUAACCAACCAAAAGUAGAAUAUGAUAAUUUAGAAGAUGAAUGUGUGAAUCUUGAAAGCAAAAAAUGGGGACUGAAGAUUAAUAUAUAGGGUCACUGGCGAGCCUAUGUAUGAUUCAGAUGAUGAAAGUGAACAUGAUUCUGAAUAUGAAAAUGAGUACUCUGAAAAUGAGUACUCUGAAGAUGAAAACAUAGUGAAUAACAUGACAGCAAGGGAGAAGAACUUAUAUUUCCAAAAAAAAGAUUCCUGAAUAAGGAGAGACAUCCAAAGAAGUCAAAAUCCAUGAACCAGGAUGCUCCAACAAGCAGAAGGGAUUAUUUUGAAGAUAGGAGGGACUGUGCCAGAGCAUCUAAUGCUGAAGACUUAAUGAAUGCUACAAAAAUGGUGUGCUUAAUUCACACACCAGAAGGGAUGAUUAUGAAGAAGGGAGGGACAGUGCCAGGGCACCCAAUUCUGAAAACUUUGAGGAGGGGAGGGACUGUACCAGGGCAUCCAAUGCCGAAAACAUUGUGAAUGCUACAAAAAAGCUGAUAGAACUGAAGAGAAGAGGGGCCGUGGCAAAAACAAAUGUAAAAAACUUGCUAAACUAAAGCUUGGAGAAAAAAAUUAAAGUAACGUUCUACAACAACCGUGCUCUUUGUACAACAUUCGCACGACACAUAUGUAGAAUCGUUCGUGAUCCUAGUAUUACCCUUGUGAGAGUAAAGAAGUGGACUGACAUUACUGAGACAUCUCUAAAACAUAUUUUUGCUGCAGUCAAGGACAAGUUUGAAAACAUGGAUGAAAACAUUGAAAUUGAUGUCUACAAAAAUGACAUCAUGGAGCAUGCUAGGGAUUUGUGGAACAAUUGGCGCGGUGACUUAAGUCGACACUAUGUCAAGCCGACAAAGAAUAUGCAGCAAGCCAUUAAGAAUUGUCUGAAUGAUUUUGCACAAGCUGAUUGGGAGUGGUUGGUCAAAGAGCAUUUUUGCAGUAAGGAAUUCAUUGCAAAGAGCAAGAGAAAUUCUAGAAACCGAUCCAAUUUGACAAUCCUUCAUCACAGUGGCAGCAAACCAUUCAGGAAAGUGAUUUAUGACAAUGGCGGCAAGGAUAAUAAUCCACUAGCUUUGGAUGCCUUAUUUUUUAUGACUCACACAAAGGGUGACAAUUUUAUUGAUUCUGAGUCCUCCAGCAAGCAUGCACAAAUUCAGGAACAAAUGUUAUCGGAUCCUUCUCUUUCCAAUGCACAACUUAUGGACAAGUGCUUCCCUUCAAAACGGUAGGACCAUAUCAUUGGAUAUGAUGGUGGAGUGAAAGCAAGACAUCUUCGAAGUCCAUCUGUUAGUAAGUCUAGAAGCUGAAACAGUCGGAGGAUGAGAAACGAGCAAUGCUUGAGGAGAACAGAGAGCUUUGAGAAGAAAAUCGGGCUACAAACAGCCGUGUAAGCCAAAUGGAAAAGGAGUGGGCAGAGUUGAAGAAACAAAUAAGUAGUAAUUAGCAUAGAAAUCUUGAUUUGAGUAGAGUUUGAGUGAUAUGAAUACUUACAACUUUUAUACCAUUGGAUAAAUACGUGAUACUGGAUUUAUUAUAUGUAAUAAUCAGAUUACCACCGACAUAUAUACAAGCUACAAAUGGUUCAUUGGUGCAUCUCAAUGUGAAAUUGAAUGGUCAUUGUUGUUUAA
Molecule: RNA transcript, 6365 nt
Organism: Zea mays
Lineage: Eukaryota; Viridiplantae; Streptophyta; Magnoliopsida; Poales; Poaceae
Exons: 10
Source: RefSeq, a predicted model, not a curated record